CAUUAAGAAGCUAACUAGCGCUAACCUUUUAAGUUAGAGACUGAGAGUAUGAAUUUCUCCUUAAUGA
Molecule: transfer RNA, 67 nt
Filed under: Ectophylla alba
Lineage: Eukaryota; Metazoa; Chordata; Mammalia; Chiroptera; Phyllostomidae
Description: tRNA-Lys
Rfam family: tRNA
About the family: Transfer RNA (tRNA) molecules are approximately 80 nucleotides in length. Their secondary structure includes four short double-helical elements and three loops (D, anti-codon, and T loops).
Source: RNAcentral